Non-coding RNA from Fonsecaea multimorphosa CBS 102226, 120 nucleotides. The record is from the annotation of a RefSeq genome assembly. Lineage: Eukaryota; Fungi; Ascomycota; Eurotiomycetes; Chaetothyriales; Herpotrichiellaceae.
GCUCUCUUAGGCCGAGUGGUUAUGGCGCAAGUUUCAGGUAGACCUGGAGCUCACGCUUCGAAUGGUAUAAUCGGAGUACUUGUGGGUAAAACCGCGUGGGUUCGAGUCCCACCCUCAUCA